UAGCUUAGUGGUUUUGGUGUCUGCCUUGCAAACAGAAGGUCCUGAGUUCAAUUCCCAG
Molecule: transfer RNA, 58 nt
Filed under: Fukomys damarensis (Damara mole-rat)
Lineage: Eukaryota; Metazoa; Chordata; Mammalia; Rodentia; Bathyergidae
Source: Rfam by way of RNAcentral